GGCAGAAUGCUUAACUUGCAUUUUGGAGGCAGAGCUACAGCUCUCCUGGGGUAGGGCUGGGAGCGCUGCAAUCAAGACUCCUGCCCUCAGUGUGAUAGGAGAGGCGGAGGGGAAAUGGUUUUCCAAGUCCCUCCUAGGAGCUCUGCAUUUCCAAGUGAGGCAGGCCGGCUUGGCAGGCCCUGCUGCCGAGCGUGGGCUGGAACAGAAACCCCUCCUCAGCCUGUCCUGCAGACAGGAGGUACUGGGGGCCGCAGGAGCUGCUUCGGGGCGUGACUCUUUCUGCCUCACAGAUCCAGGGUCCUGAGGAUGCAUUUGUGCAUCAGGACACCUCAGUGGAGCCCCACAAAAGCAGCCACAGUCCAGAGAUGGGGCAGCACCAGGGCCCAGCCACCACAGCGAGCAAUGUCCUGUUAAAUGUGAGCAGGAGCGUCCUCUUGUUCGAGGAGCUCACAGGAAAGGCUGGAAAGCCAAUACCCAGUUGUUUUGGACAUGGAAUUCACAGAAGACAGGAUGGUUUUGCUCCUGCUGACUGCUUCCAACAGUGGUUUCAAGGAUGUGCUCUGCUGUUUUCCUCUAAGCAUAACUUCAGUGACCUCUUCUAACAUUCUCAAAACUAAGGUGAAGGUGAUGCACCAUCUCAGAACAGAGGUGAUGAUUUAUUUUGCACAGCAGCUGCUGGGAGGCAGAAAAGCUGUAGACCCUGCCAUAAAUCCACACUGUCCAUCUAUGGUGCCCAGUUAUGAAAAGAG
This is a long non-coding RNA of Passer domesticus (house sparrow), 749 nucleotides long. RefSeq lists it as uncharacterized. NCBI's taxonomy places the organism in Eukaryota, Metazoa, Chordata, Aves, Passeriformes, Passeridae. The record is from RefSeq and is a predicted model, not a curated record. The transcript is spliced from 4 exons.